UUCUGAACUUGUAAAGCAACAAUAUCAACAAAUUGAUAGUUUUUCUCUUGAAGUCUCAUUGCCUUCGGUUGUAACAGAAAAUGAUCAAGCAGUUUGGUUGUAUAUGAAGAAUAAGUACCGCCAUGAACUUUGGUUCCAAGAGAAGGCUGAAUGUCAAUUCAUUUCUACAAAAGACAUCUUCAAACUAUUAGUGAUAAAUCCAUUACAAAGAUUGUUGGGUGUAAAAUCUACUCAAAGUUCUUUUCGCGUUCGCUUAACAUACUCACAUUCUGAUGCAUUAACAAGAGAUGACGUUCAGGAAGGGAAUGGAG
This 311-nucleotide unclassified non-coding RNA is filed under the name Hevea brasiliensis (rubber tree). The record is from RNAcentral. Lineage: Eukaryota; Viridiplantae; Streptophyta; Magnoliopsida; Malpighiales; Euphorbiaceae.